Molecule: ribosomal RNA, 497 nt
Filed under: uncultured bacterium
Lineage: Bacteria
Description: partial 16S ribosomal RNA
Rfam family: Bacterial small subunit ribosomal RNA
Source: RNAcentral
GAUGAACGCUGGCGGCGUGCCUAAUACAUGCAAGUCGAGCGAACGGACGAGAAGCUUGCUUCUCUGAUGUUAGCGGCGGACGGGUGAGUAACACGUGGAUAACCUACCUAUAAGACUGGGAUAACUUCGGGAAACCGGAGCUAAUACCGGAUGAUAUUUUGAACCGCAUGGUUCAAAAGUGAAAGACGGUCUUGCUGUCACUUAUAGAUGGAUCCGCGCUGCAUUAGCUAGUUGGUAAGGUAACGGCUUACCAAGGCAACGAUGCAUAGCCGACCUGAGAGGGUGAUCGGCCACACUGGAACUGAGACACGGUCCAGACUCCUACGGGAGGCAGCAGUAGGGAAUCUUCCGCAAUGGGCGAAAGCCUGACGGAGCAACGCCGCGUGAGUGAUGAAGGUCUUCGGAUCGUAAAACUCUGUUAUUAGGGAAGAACAUAUGUGUAAGUAACUGUGCACAUCUUGACGUUACCUAAUCAGAAAGCCCCGGCUAACUACGUG